RNAcentral lists this unclassified non-coding RNA (208 nucleotides) under soil metagenome. Its description in RNAcentral is "partial contains 5.8S ribosomal RNA, internal transcribed spacer 2, and large subunit ribosomal RNA". The record is from RNAcentral.
AACCUUAUGGACCUGCGGGCGUAUACCUGCGGAGGGAUCAUUACCAGAGUGAGGGGGAAACCCCGACCUCCAACCCCAUGUAAUUCAUACUCUGUUGCCUCGGGGGCGACCCGGCCUUCGGGCGUCGGGGCCCCCGGUGGACCCGUAACACUGCAUCCAUGCGUCUGAGUGAUUAAAUCAAUCAAUUAAAACUUUUAACAACGGAUCU